GAGAGUUUGCAGAGGCCUGAAAGAGGCGAUAAAAAUCAAUUGUCGCGUGAUCCGGGUGAACGAUAGGUACGCUCGUUCUUGUAUGGGUCCGUGACUAUAAGGUUUUCCGGGCAUCUCGACGCUAAAAUAGCAAGAAAGCGACCCGUUCUCGAUUGAUAAUAAAUAGAGUCACAUUCAUGCUUGGCGAUGGUUGACUGGAAGAAGAGGAGUGGCUGAAGCGUGCCAGGCCUCCUGGAAAGAAGAUCCCGACGCGCAGCGCAGGAAACUCAGCUUUCCGUGUUUUCUUCGUUGCUGAUGCGUUCGAUGCCUUUCAUCGUCAACGAGGGUUACCGGUGAUCGGGGCAUCGGAGAUAUUUGAGUGGACCCGAAGGAGGACUUAUCCUUUAGAGACCCCUGACGUAUCAAAGUUGAAGAGCAAGGUUCAGAAAUUGCAGAACGAGGAUCGUCGCACGCGUUAGCAGACGGUCGCUAUCGAGUCGUUUGACGGCGAGAGUGGAGAGCGAAAACGAAGCCAUCGAACAAUUACGCGCCCAAUUCAACGAAUGAUUGCAACGAAUGAUGACACUGCAAUCGACGGUUUCUCACAGUUCGUCCAGUGUUCCGUCAGGGCCGUGGAAAGUUCGCGCGAGCAUAAAAUCUCGAUCGGGGAUCGCAGAGUUUCCACGCUAGGGGAAGGGUUUUCGCGGUGCUAGAAUUUAAUGGCCGUGGCAGAAGUUCCGCUUAACGAGAUGGAGUGAGCCCGAAAGAUAAAUCGGACCUGGCGCUUUUAU
Hylaeus anthracinus is the source of this 770-nucleotide long non-coding RNA. RefSeq lists it as uncharacterized. NCBI's taxonomy places the organism in Eukaryota, Metazoa, Arthropoda, Insecta, Hymenoptera, Colletidae. The transcript is spliced from 4 exons. The record is from RefSeq and is a predicted model, not a curated record.